AUGAAUGUGCUGCCGUGAGGUGAAGCAGCCCACAGCCCUCCUGCAGCAAUCCUUCAGGUGACAUGGCGGUCACGUGCCUGAUGGUCAGCAAUGUGAUUCCAGGCCACUGCUUCUGGAGACUUCCACUGCCCCAGCUACAGGACAGAGGAUGCUAGGUGGCAUCAAGCAAGACAAAAUAAGAGCCCUACUUCACACCACAUUUUUGGGGAUCAAAGACUUUUGUCAAAAGAAGUUAUUGGCAUCAAAAUUAGUUAUUUAGCUGUUAUUUCAGCUCAGCACACAGGAAACCCUGGUGCCUGUUGCUGUUCCAUGCUGUGUAUUCCGAGACUGAAAUCUCAAUAGUGACAAGGCAACAAGUAAGAAAAGAAUUGAGUUUCUGCUGAGUGAGCCACAGAUAAGCUACAUUUUAAUGCUCUGCAUCAAAAUUUAAAGGAUUUUGCUAAAUAAGUCAUAUGCUAUAAGACAAUACUGUAUUGAGAAGAAAAUCCAUUUAGAAAGCACAUAAUGACGUAGUUUUCCAGUGGUAUAUAUUGCUGAGGAAGAGAAAAUUGUCAAGAUAUAAAGCAUUCAUGAGAAACGCAAAAUGAUAAGGUUCUUGUUCGAAACUGUAAGAUCAGUGUUUCUCUGCUGAACUCCAUUUCUGGGAGUUGAUCCUUGUUCCUGAAAAAAUUGUUUUGGCCUUGAAUGUAGCAGUAAAGAUGUUAGUCCUGGAGAAGGAUUUUCUUGUUCUUAUGGUUUUGGCUCCUAAUAGAGGAAUGUAAGAAUUUAUUACCCAAAGAUCCAUUCUGAUGCUUUUGGCUAAAUAGUAAGUACUCAGUUUUUAAUUAUGUUGGUAUAUUAUCCAACCCUCUAUGGGCAGGAAAUUGCGUUUAGGAAGAAAAAAGUAUGGAAGCAUCACCACCAUGACUGCGACAGCCAGCAUCAGUCCCUUCUGUGGUUCCAGCAUUAAAACCAGAUGUUGGUUGAGUCUCAGAUGCACUUGGGCUCCUACAUGGCUUGGUCACAGUGUAUGGGGUAAGGCACCAAAUGCAUUUCGUGGCAGUCAGCAGUUUGGAGGCUCUUGCUGGCACUCAGUGGCUGACCUCAGGGAAACCCAGGUGAAAGGAGAUAGAUACCACUCCACAGGCUGAUGGUGGAGCCUACAGGGCCUCUGUCACCUUUGGAAAUGAGGCAAAGAUAGUCCCGUCAUUUAGGGACAGAUGAUAUUUUUCUUAAUGUGUUUAAGUGUCUUAAUGUAGGAAAUUAAGUUCCAUGACCCUCCUGAUAAGCUCACCAGAUGCCCAUCUGUAACAUUGUUUGUGAACUACCUUGUAAAAUCAGGCUCCUUGGCAGAGCCAAGGAAGCCCAAGUUUCUGAUCUGGGACAUGCACACUGUGACAGGAGCCAGAUGUGUCAGAAACAUAUGCUCCUCUUUGGAACUGUACCUCCAUCAGCAGCAGAGGACGUUUGGCCUUACUAAGAAGUGCCUGGCCUAGCCCCCAAAUUACCUUUUAUUGUUUGAUUCCCAGCAGAAAUGUGUUGCUAACACGAGACAUCUUUGGAGCAUGCAUGUCAGCAUCAUCCUGAUGGCAGGGAGCUGGCAGGGCAAAGGGCAAAGUGUGCGAUGGAACUGCUGCCCCUGGAGCUGUGAUGAGAAAGCUGAUGUAGAGACAAUCUCCUGGCCUGUCCCAGUGGCAGGGCUGUAGAAAUGCGUGCACAUUCUUUGUCUUGUUCGCAUAGAAGUCUAUUGUGUAGAUAUUAAUAUCUGCAGCUACCUCUAAUUUCUGUUGUAAUGAUGCACUUUUAUUGCAUUAGAGUGACCUGAAACUGUGUCCUAAUCUCAUAGAUCCCAUUUACACAGCUUGCACUGUAGGUUUAAUUUCACAGUUUUUAGUUUCCCAGCUUAAAAAUGUGAACAAUUCAUGGAGCAAAAUUAACAGUUUAUUAGAAAUAUCAGUCUCUGCAAAAGUCCUAAGGGUAAUUCACAGCUCUAUAAAAGGUUGUGGU
RNAcentral lists this long non-coding RNA (1986 nucleotides) under Gallus gallus (chicken). RNAcentral describes it as "lncRNA (ENSGALG00010002836.1)". The record is from RNAcentral. Lineage: Eukaryota; Metazoa; Chordata; Aves; Galliformes; Phasianidae.